GAUAGGAAAGGAGGAAGAUAAAUGGAAGCAAAGAGUGAGUGAGAGAAGGAAGGAUCUGGAUGGAAAAUAAGAGAAAGAAAGAAGGAAGGGAGGGGAGGAAGGGGAGAGGUGCUGGCGACAGUAGCCCAGAGGGAGGUGUGGGAGUGAGCCCACACUCAGGGAUAACUGCCUGGUGACCGCGGCUCACUUGGACUUGGCCUCUCUCUGACUUCUGUGCCACUGAACAUCUGCCUGCCCGAUGUGGCACUUCAUUAGUUCAUGUCUGAUUGUCCAGUCAUUUUAUAACCAUUACCUCAAUUAGACUACCAACUUUUUGAGAGCAGUGCUUUUUCUUGGAUAUCUUUUGUGCUCUGGUCGUCCCUUGUUCUUCCCAGGUCCCUACGACAGCACUGGGUUCCUGGAACACGGUGAAUUGUCCCCAGUGUUCACUGGACCCCUGGCAACCGUGUCAGUUUCUCUUGCUCUAAGUGUGCACCUUCCUUUUUAUUCUUUACGUGGCCACAUGGGAGUAGUGUCACCUCCAACGCUUCACUUAUCAUGUGCUUUCCAGAGGUGGUGUGAUAUUUAAAAACAGUCAUUGUCACCUGAGCAGUGGAAGACUCACUCACUCAUUAACGUACUAUGACAGGUGACUGUUUAGGAGAACACUAGAAUCUACAUAAUACUGAAGAUUAUUUUCAGAGUGGGGGAACCUUACAGACACCACUGAGAAUAUUUCAUCUACCCUUACUGCCUGGCUGUAGUCCAGGAAGGAAUGCUCUCCGAUUAAGGUCAACUUGAAUCUUCUUGGGACUGAACUGAACGAAGUAUUUUAGUUUUGUGUUUCAGAGGUAUGCUCCUAGUACGGACUGCGAAUGGCCUGCUCCUCCGGUGGGAGAUGUACACAGCCUGUGAGCACUGUCGAUGAACGGUGGUAUCGUGUCAAGAUGGAUCGCUGAGUGGACUCGAAGGGCUCUGGGCUGAACGUGGGGAUCAGAAACCUUUUCAGCAUAGUGCUACCUUGAAGAGCUUACCUGCCUGCAUCCACGACACAAUUUUUGACUCGGCAAAGUUUUAGCACGAGGAAACAAUUCGGCAGCUCUACCGAGCAUUUCAUUCAGGAGAUGGGGGGCUGUCUGGGGAAGACCCUGUGCAUUUCCUCCGUGAAGGAAAUACUUUCUUCAUUAUCUCCUAAAAUAAAAGUACCAGGCCGAGAUAAAAUGGAAUUCCCUCUACCUGAAUGAAUCCCUUCCCAGAGAAGCCGAUCAUCUAAGGGCCAGAGAACAAGUGUUGUGAAUUCUCUCCUGAGAGACUACUGAGGGAGACCACAUAAAUUCUACCUGAACAAAUGGAUGAUGGACACACUAUACUGAAGAACACAAAUACCACAAUGAGUUAGGAGCACAGCAAAUUCGCAGAGGAGCCACACUGAGCCUCAGAGAGAUGAAGAGUGCUGUCCUGACUCUGGGUGCGACCCUUGUGGGGCACCGCUGAGAAUAACUCUGCGGUCACUUUUUCCCUUUAGAGAAUAAUGCUGAAAAACACCUGAUGAUACAGUUUUCUUGAGAGUCAUAGCAGAUCUUUAUGUUAUUUGAGGUGAUUUUCCCUCCAUUGUCUAGAGUCCUUACCACAGAAUCCUGUGAGAAUAUGGUCUAAGGAUAAUGCCCCAUUAGCCAGCCUGACCUGAUUUCUCCCUGUUUUGGGAACUUUCAGGCCAACCUAUAAUUUUAAGUCCCUCAUAUGCUUUUCAGAGUAAUUUGGCAUCUGCUGAAAGUCAUUGUCAUUUGAGAUAACUGCUUUUCUUUCUAUAAAGACAAAAGCAAAUGAAAAGACGACAGCGAUCUGCCAAAAAUGGAGGUCCUUGUGGAGAAGUACUGAUAAAUCUCCAAAUGCUAUUCUAUCCCUGAUGCAGCUCAUGCAGCGUCCACCUGCAGCCAGCAAUCAACACGCUAAAUCUUAGCAAUGCAAGGCCACUGGAGAAAAAGAAUUUACCUUGGAGUCCAGCUGCUGCAUGUAUGACCAAAGAUACUCUAUAUUGGCUCCAAAAGGAUGGACGUGAAGAAAUGUCGAGAUGAUGCCUGAAUUAAAAAGACAAACAGUGGACAUUACUGAAAGGCAAAUAAGAGUCUGAGUCAAAUCAUGUCAUCCUAUCCCAGGGAUGGUUUUGUCAGGCUAAGUUAUGGUCUCACCAUUUUUAAUAGCACUCAACAAGCAUUCAGUAACAGUCGUUUUGAAGACGACAGUCAUAGUAAUGUGGCACACAGAACACUCUCUCUCCUGGAAUGACACUAGUUAGAAAAGCUAGACUUGGAGAUAAUUUAUAGAUGAAUAAAGGUAUUUCUAAACAAAGACUCCUGGAAGCAUUUCAACUACCAAUUUUAUGCUUGAUUUACCAAUAUAAAAUUGUAGUUAUUGGGAGGAUAAAAUUCUCUGCUCUUUCCCUCAGUGGCCUUUGCGGAAUGAAAAUGGCUCAUACAGCUGUGUCAGAGAUCACACAGCCUCAGAGUUUCCUGAUAAUUACAGCUGCUAGUUACAAAAAGUAUUUAAUCCCUAUUCCCUCUAACUGCCACUGAAGGAAACCCAAAUCCUUUAUUUCCCCCUGGUUGUUUCUGUUGUUUCAACAGAGCCAGCUCACUCUCUCCUUGCUGCUCUAAUUUACAAGAUCAUUGUAAGAGGCCCAGGAAUGGAUGGUGUGGCUGGAGUCUGAUAUAAGUCAGAAGUCUUUUCCAUUGUGAAAAUCAGCUGUCACCAUUGUACUGACAAAUGAAAGGCUGGGUGUUGGUGUCAGGGCUGAGGUAAAUAAAGGCAUUACUUUUCUGUC
Molecule: long non-coding RNA, 2800 nt
Organism: Canis lupus familiaris (dog)
Lineage: Eukaryota; Metazoa; Chordata; Mammalia; Carnivora; Canidae
Exons: 4
Source: RefSeq, a predicted model, not a curated record